GCCAGCAUGGCAUAGUGGUUAGAUUGUUGGAUUACAACUCCAAAGACCCUGGGUUCGAUUCCAGGCUCAACCA
Molecule: non-coding RNA, 73 nt
Organism: Phrynosoma platyrhinos (Desert horned lizard)
Lineage: Eukaryota; Metazoa; Chordata; Lepidosauria; Squamata; Phrynosomatidae
Source: the annotation of a GenBank genome assembly